AGAGUUUGAUCCUGGCUCAGAAUGAACGUUGGCGGCGUGGAUUAGGCAUGCAAGUCGAGCGAGAACCCGCAAGGGGGACAGCGGCAAACGGGGUAGUAACGGGUAGGCAACGUACCCUCGGGACGGGGAUAGCCACGGGAAACUGUGGGUAAUACCCGAUAAUCUCCUCUUUCUUUAUGAGAGGGGAGCAAAGGUGAGAUUCCACCUGAGGAGCGGCCUGCUUCGUAUUAGCUAGUUGGUGAGGUAACGGCUCACCAAGGCUUCGAUGCGUAGGGGGUGUGAGAGCAUGACCCCCACCACUGGGACUGAGAUACUGCCCAGACACCUACGGGUGGCUGCAGUCGAGAAUCUUCGGCAAUGGGCGAAAGCCUGACCGAGCGACGCCGCGUGUGGGAUGAAGGCCCUUGGGUUGUAAACCACUGUCAGAGGGGAUGAAGUGCAUGUGAGUUAUCUCAUGUGUUUGACAUAGCCUCAGAGGAAGCACGGGCUAAGUUCGUGCCAGCAGCCGCGGUAAUACGAACUGUGCAAACGUUAUUCGGAAUCACUGGGCUUACAGGGUGCGUAGGCGGCUUGUUAAGCAGGGUGUGAAAUCCCUCGGCUCAACCGAGGAAUUGCGCCCUGAACUGGCGAGCUGGAGUGGGACAGA
RNAcentral lists this ribosomal RNA (646 nucleotides) under uncultured bacterium. Its description in RNAcentral is "bacterial SSU rRNA". It matches the Rfam family "Bacterial small subunit ribosomal RNA", at positions 8 to 655 of the family's 1533-position model. The record is from RNAcentral.